RNAcentral lists this ribosomal RNA (265 nucleotides) under uncultured bacterium. RNAcentral's name for it is "partial 16S ribosomal RNA". It matches the Rfam family "Bacterial small subunit ribosomal RNA", at positions 88 to 354 of the family's 1533-position model. The record is from RNAcentral.
AUGGCGACCGGCGCACGGGUGAGUAACACGUAUCCAACCUGCCGAUGACUCGGGGAUAGCCUUUCGAAAGAAAGAUUAAUACCCGAUGGCAUAGUUCUUCCGCAUGGUAGAACUAUUAAAGAAUUUCGGUCAUCGAUGGGGAUGCGUUCCAUUAGCUUGUUGGCGGGGUAACGGCCCACCAAGGCAUCGAUGGAUAGGGGUUCUGAGGGGAAGGUCCCCCACAUUGGAACUGAGACACGGUCCAAACUCCUACGGAAGGCAGCAG